ACCUGUCCUAAUCUAGCUUUUGAGCCUUUGGCUUGAAUCUCGAUCCACCUAUAUUAAAUUUACAUCUUUGACUUCGAGGCCAAAAUAAAUAAUUAAAUAAAUAAAUAAAUAAAUACAACAACCAUAAAUAAAUAACAACGGCAAAUAAAUAAAUAGAAAUGAGACUUGGGUCUCGUCGUCGCUUCAAGAAUGGGACUUUAUUAUUCUUCUUCAGACUCCUUAUCUACGCACUAUGAGAUUGUCUCCUUAUGACCUUCGAAAUCGACUCAUGAGGGAUAGGCCUCAAUGGCCCACAUUGAUAAUGCAACAAUGGGAAUAGAGUCCGUUUGGACUCAAAGACGGGUUCAUGCAAAGAAAAGGGGAAGGAAGAUAAGGAGUAGGAAAUAACUCAACUAAAAAUAAUUUAGAAAGGAAUUUUAAUCAAUACAUGAACACUGCAACAUGGCAACCAAUGGUUCAAUUCAUAUCGACAUAGUAGUAAUUUCAUUCAACAUGCAGGAAACCAUCUAGAUGUAGUGCUUGGCAGAACAUUAAAACAUAUUUGGCAUUCAUUAGUCUAACAAUAAUGUCAUAAAACCAAAAGAAAGGAAAACAUUAAGACAAAAUGAACCACGUUCAGCAGAAGAAAUCUCCUUAAUCUAACAUAGGUUUAAUUGCACCAAGCUUAUGGAACAGGAAAACAACACAUAAUUUAGACAUUACAUGACUUUCUAUUUCAAUACCAAGGAGAACUCGCAACAGAGGAUCAACUGAAUAAUCUCAAUGGUAAUGUUUGUCAAAGAAGACAUUUGUACUAAUGUUUUCAUAACUAGGAAGGUAAAGCCAUACGAGCAAUGAUACUUGUAACAAUUACACCUUUGGCAGCAAUAAAAAAAGAAAGCGUCCUUACUUAUACGUUCUAGAAACUAGAUGCAUUCACACAUAGGUAGAUGGUCGAAAACUUUGAAUCUGGGAGCAUCUUAACAAACCAAAUUGUCGAUAAUCUUUAAAGAUUCAUUAAUCAAUACGUAUGUGCAAGGAUAAAGGAGAGCAAGAAACAAGUUAAAGUCGGAUCCUAUCUUAUCAUCCAUUAUCAGAUUUGAGCAAAUCUACAGUCAAUGAUGGAAAAUAGGGGAACAUAUUUGUUUUAAAUUUGGCAUUAUAAACACAUAACCGUUAAAAAGACAGGAUGAGCAUGGAACCAGUCAGAAAAAAGGGAAAAGAAAACAACAACGAUAACAAUAAUAUUUUGUACAAUGUACAAGCAGGAGAUCGACGAUCAACCUCUCCCCUAAUCAUAUGAGAACAUUAGCAGGCAAUGUUUCACUCUAAAAAAAAAGAUUCUUGAUGCAGGUAGGGGCAGAAAGAAUGAAACGACAUUAUAGCGGAUUUUAAUAGAGACCAAAACCAAAUAAAAAUCAACCAGCUUUCAUCACAGCCUAUGGCUUUCAACGUCUCUACAACAGCUAAUCCCAGCACGCAAGAAAGAGUUAAAUUACCAUUUACUACUUCAAAAGCGAAGACGAGACAAAAUCAAGAUAGCGACGACAAACAAAACAACGUCAAAUACUAACCAUGAACAAGACACCAUCAGCCCUAAGCUACUAGACAAAGUCAAAGCAUGAAACUUUACUACGAAACCAGCUAUUCAAGAUAUUAGCAGCCCAAAACGAAAUCAAAGCAUGAAACUUUACUAUAAAGUCAGCUAUAACAAUAUACAAGCAGCCUAAAACUACCCAACAAAAUCAAAGUAUGAAACUUUAUCCUCGAUAUUAGCAUUCAAGACACAGGAAGUAGCUAACAAUAUCAAGAUUAAAUGACAAAAUUAAUGUCGAGGCAGAGAUAACAGAAAUCACCCAUCAAACGACUCAAAACAAGCAUUAAUCCAACGUAACAAUAAUUCAACACUUGCUUCAUUCAGAGAAACCUAUAGCCUUUAAGGCCUCUACAGCAGACAACCCAGCACAUCCUAUCACUAAAAGAAACCUACAACUUCAGAAGGUUGAGAUGAAGUAUAAAUCGUCAAAAACUCAAACGAAAAAGGAUAUUACCUAUUCGGGAGCAGCAAAACAGGGCUACGAGAUGGCGUUAGACUCCACCACCACUGGAAAGUUCAACGCCUCGACUCCGAAAAGCUUCGAGCAGUCGUCGACCAAAGAGCUUAUACUAAAAUAUGCUAUGUUUCUUUUCUUCCGAAACUUUUCCCCUAGUUGUCGAACUCAACUUUUCUCAGGAAGAUCUUUUUUCACACUAAAAUUUCUAAACCAAGAAUUUCCAACCCCCAGCGAAAAAUCCCCCCCAACCCAGCUCAACAGUGCGCUCUUUAUAUAGAAGCCAAUUUGAGGGUAAUUUAGGAAUUUCUUUUCCAAAAGGAAUUCAAAAUUUGAACUCAAAUUGAAUUACCCCCCAACAAAUUAUACCAAUUUGUUGUUUUUUCUUGGAUAAUUCGGUAUGGGUGGACCAAUAGGAUUUGGGAAAAAUGAGUUCCAUCAAGAACCAAUAGAAAUCCACCAAAUAUGUACGAAAUCGUACCCUUAUCCCGAGAUUCGUGAAAUUGAGCCGUUGGGGGUGACACCUAGCUUGUUUUAGAAGACUCGAGAUUUUUUGAUGGUGCGUAAUCGCGGGUUUAGGUCAGAUUUCGCUUGUGUUGGAGCUGUUUGUUGAUGGAGACGGGUCGAAGCUGGUUCGGGUAGGGUUCGUUCGGAUUUGGAUUGAGAGUUGCUGAUGUUUUUUGUACGCUGAUUUUUGUGUUCUUGUGUGUAUAUUGUUGUUGUUUGUUGAAGAAGAGAAAAUGGGCCGGGGUUGGAUUAAUUAAUUGGUGGGCUGGUGUGGUUAAGAAUGGGCUGCUGAUUAGUUCUAUGUGGCCCAAUGUAAAAUAAAUAGGGGUAGAAAUUUGAUAAUUUUAAAAAUGAC
RNAcentral lists this long non-coding RNA (2892 nucleotides) under Capsicum annuum. Its description in RNAcentral is "long non-coding RNA (CANN_LNC018098)". Lineage: Eukaryota; Viridiplantae; Streptophyta; Magnoliopsida; Solanales; Solanaceae. The record is from RNAcentral.